This is a long non-coding RNA of Pongo pygmaeus (Bornean orangutan), 866 nucleotides long. RefSeq lists it as uncharacterized. The transcript is spliced from 4 exons. The record is from RefSeq and is a predicted model, not a curated record. NCBI's taxonomy places the organism in Eukaryota, Metazoa, Chordata, Mammalia, Primates, Hominidae.
AGUUGGCUUGACAGUUACAUGAUAGUAGCCCACAAAUAUGCAAAGAUCUGUCAUAUGGUAUGAAGAUAGACAUUCUCCAGAAGACAUUCUGUGACCAGAAGAUGGAAUUAAUCUUCUACAAACAGAUUAUGCUCUAAGAUGUUUUACAGCUAAAAGCUCCAUCAAGACUUUUUCACAACUUGUUAAUGGAACAAAAAGCAACCAGGUUGUGUUUCAAUAAUAAAAUGUAUGAAGAACUGCACUUGUUUCAAACAGCCAAAGGGCAGUCAAAAGCAGUGGCCAACCAGAAACAGCCUUCAGAAACUUCCUUUAACUGCCAGAUUGGAAGAUCAGCCUUAGACCAGUGCUUUAAACUCCAGUAUUUCUAAAUGAGACCUAAAGGAUAGGUAUAUCCUUUAGGAUAUAACUUGAUGGCUUAUUCUGUAAAACUUCUUCAGGAUAAUUGGGGAUGUGCAAAUCAGAGGGGAAAAGUGACAAUCAUCUUAGCCUCUCACAAGCCUAGAAGUGACAUAAAAGGCAAAAAGAAAAAGAAAGAGGCAAACCUAUUUCUAGAUCUAAGGGUUAACCUAAACCUCUCCCCAAAAAAGAGGGAUAAUUUAAAGUGGUAAAUGCAACUCAGUCACUAAGCAAAGUCAUGUCACAUCCAUUCAAUGUCCUACACAUGUGUAGUUCACAGAAUGGAAACAUAUAAUAAACGCCUGAGAAUUUAAAAUGCUUCAUCACAACUAUUGCCCAAGUGGCCCAUGUUUGGUUGAGAGGUCAGUAAACAGGCAGCAAUAAUUAAAAGUGUGGGCUCUUGGACCGAGUUGCAUAAAUGCAAAACUGGAUGUUUCUUAUUAAUAAACUCUAUGAUAUUGGGUAAAUUA